Long non-coding RNA from Oreochromis aureus, 333 nucleotides. RefSeq lists it as uncharacterized. NCBI's taxonomy places the organism in Eukaryota, Metazoa, Chordata, Actinopteri, Cichliformes, Cichlidae. The transcript is spliced from 4 exons. The record is from RefSeq and is a predicted model, not a curated record.
GCCUAUUGCCACAACUUUCCCCACCCAGGAAGGAGAAGCCAACUCCAGGUGUUGCUGGACCUUUGAUUUCUUCAGAUCUCAUCUUCAUCUGCAUGGACCUUGGAAGUCAGGCGUCUCCGUUGAGUCCCAAUUCUGGAACCAUCAGCUCCCCAGUGUCCCCUGCAGCCAAACAUCCACACUACCUGCCAGGCCCAUAUAAUUCCUGCUGCUGACAACUCACUGAGACAUCUUUGUAAUUUAAGACGGAGAUAUUGUUGGAGAUGUGCAAUAGCAAGCAGUUCUGUUGCCUGAAAGGCCAAGCAGCAAUAUGGUGGAUAGAGGCAGUGUCCCUGG